UCGGGGCGACCGAUCGGUAGGGGAGUAUUCUCUAGGAGAUACAAGCCGUACGGAAACGAGCGGUGGCGGCCUAGAGAAGAGCGAAUGCAGGCAUGAGUAGCGAUAAGACAGGUGGGAAUCCUGUCCGCCGAAAACCCAAGGUUUCCUGCGCCACGUUAAUCGGCGCAGGGUGAGUCGGUACCUAAGGCGAGGCCGAAUGCCAUGGUUCCAGAGUGCAGCAGUGAGACCCCGGGGGAUGAGCUUCGGGGUCGAGAGGGAAACAGCCCAGACUGGCGGCUAAGGCCCCGAAUCCAUGCUCAGUGUAGAUAAGGAAGUGGAGUUGCUUGGACAGCUAGGAUGUUGGCUUAGAAGCAGCCAUCAUUUAAAGAAAGCGUAAUAGCUCACUGGUCGAGAGGUUCUGCGCCGAGAAUGAUCGGGACUCAAGCUUGCAACCGAAGCCGCGGCUUGAAGUGAACUGCUGUUUACUUCAGGGGUAGGGGAGCGUUCCAAGCGAGUGAAGGGCGACGGUAACGACGCCUCGACGCUCUGGAAGUGAUUAUGCCGGAAUAAGUAGCGUGAUAUGCAGGUGAAAAACCUGCACGCCGAAAGCCUAAGGUUUCCUGGGGAAGGUAAAUCCGCCCAGGGUUAGUCGGACCCUAAGUCGAGGCCGAAAGGCGUAGACGAUGGACAGCAGGUCAACAUUCCUGCACCGGGUGCUGCUGCGAUGGGGUGACGGAGAAGGUUAGGGUGGCUGCCUGUUGGAUGGUAGUUUAAGCCCGUAGGAAGAUCUCUUAGGCAAAUCCGGGAGGUUAAGACUGAGGCGUGACGACGAGUCUCCUUGUGAGACGAAGUGAUUGAUACCAAGCUUCCAGGAAAAGCCUCUAAGCUUCAGUCAUACGAAGACCGUACCGUAAUCGAACACACGUGGGCGGGAUGAGAAUUCUCAGGCGCUUGAGAGAACUCAGGAGAAGGAACUCGGCAAAUUGAUACCGUAACUUCGGGAGAAGGUAUUCCUCUGGUUGUUAGUGGCCUCGCGCCACGAAGCGCUACGCGAGUUGCAAUAAAGAGGGUCAAGCGACUGUUUACUAAAAACACAGGCCUCUGCGAACUCGUCAAGAGGACGUAUAGGGUCUGACGCCUGCCCGGUGCUGGAAGGUUAACCGGAGGAGUUAGCCGCAAGGCGACGCUUUGAAGGGAAGCCCCAGUAAACGGCGGCCGUAACUAUAACGGUCCUAAGGUAGCGAAAUUCCUUGUCGGGUAAGUUCCGACCUGCAUGAAUGGCGUAACGACUGGAGCGCUGUCUCGGGAAGUGACUCAGCGAAUUUGUUGUUCCGGUGAAGAAGCCGGGUGCCCGCAACUAGACGGAAAGACCCUGUGCACCUUUACUACAACUUGACAUUGGAUGUUGGAAGGGGC
This 1395-nucleotide ribosomal RNA is filed under the name Selaginella bryopteris. Its description in RNAcentral is "bacterial LSU rRNA". It matches the Rfam family "Bacterial large subunit ribosomal RNA", at positions 920 to 2134 of the family's 2925-position model. Lineage: Eukaryota; Viridiplantae; Streptophyta; Lycopodiopsida; Selaginellales; Selaginellaceae. The record is from RNAcentral.